GCGAACGAUAACGAGUGAACACAACUUCUAGAUGGAGAAAGGUUCGUAAAAAUCAGACAUUUCAACUACAAAGUUGCACUUAAAGGGAGUAGAAAGAUUCAAACGAGAACUUCAAUCAAGCAGGGGUCAAUAAACCCGGAUCAGACGAAUAUACGAAAUUAAAAUCGAAUGUUUAAAUUGAACCUAAACAAUAUGAAAUAAAAUUACGAAGAUAAAUUUGGAACUUCUAAAAUUGAAAUGUGAUCUACAAUUUAUGCAGCGGAGGAAUAUUUUAACACAAAUGAUUUCGCAAAGGAUUCAUACUACUAAUUACAGGCGGACGUAAAGGUGUACGGUGGAUGCAGUCUAUAAAAUAUUGAGGAUAUGGCAUAACGGAACUUCUGGGAAACUAUGGUGCUUACGACAUAUUUGGGAAUUUUUUCCAAAGCCAUUGAUAACUAAAGGUGUGAAAGUUUUUAUUUUAAUUGUCAAUAUAUGUGCAAUUUAUAAUCGCAAUGUGUAAAUUUGAAAUAUAUCAAUAAAAUAAAACAAAGGAUUGUUAUGAGAAUGAA
This is a long non-coding RNA of Stomoxys calcitrans (stable fly), 551 nucleotides long. RefSeq lists it as uncharacterized. Lineage: Eukaryota; Metazoa; Arthropoda; Insecta; Diptera; Muscidae. The transcript is spliced from 3 exons. The record is from RefSeq and is a predicted model, not a curated record.